GAGUUUGAUCGUGGCUCAGAUUGAACGCUGGCGGCAUGCCUUACACAUGCAAGUCGAACGGCAGCACGGGAGCUUGCUCCUGGUGGCGAGUGGCGAACGGGUGAGUAAUGCAUCGGAACGUAUCCUGGAGUGGGGGAUAACGUAGCGAAAGUUACGCUAAUACCGCAUAUUCUGUGAGCAGGAAAGCGGGGGACCUUCGGGCCUCGCGCUCUUGGAGCGGCCGAUGUCGGAUUAGCUAGUUGGUGAGGUAAAGGCUCACCAAGGCGACGAUCCGUAGCAGGUCUGAGAGGAUGAUCUGCCACACUGGAACUGAGACACGGUCCAGACUCCUACGGGAGGCAGCAGUGGGGAAUUUUGGACAAUGGGGGCAACCCUGAUCCAGCCAUGCCGCGUGAGUGAAGAAGGCCUC
This 409-nucleotide ribosomal RNA is filed under the name bacterium enrichment culture clone ALO1_GLFRUDD03GCZZE. RNAcentral describes it as "bacterial SSU rRNA". It matches the Rfam family "Bacterial small subunit ribosomal RNA", at positions 9 to 418 of the family's 1533-position model. The record is from RNAcentral. RNAcentral also lists the same sequence under 2 other names.